Molecule: long non-coding RNA, 1048 nt
Filed under: Panax ginseng (ginseng)
Lineage: Eukaryota; Viridiplantae; Streptophyta; Magnoliopsida; Apiales; Araliaceae
Description: long non-coding RNA (PGIN_LNC015536)
Source: RNAcentral
AAUAAAUCUCAGCCGUUAAUCAAUAAUACUGACGGAUUAGAGCCUAUAUACCAAUAUUUGUCUCAUAGCAUAUAGAUGCUAUGGAUCGCUCCCCAUAUAUAUAUAUAUAUAUAUAUGGACAAUAAUUCAUAGCAUCUAUUUGCUAUGAAUCAAUAAUGGAAAAAUAUCAUCCUAACCUUCCAAUGCAAAAAUGAAAGGUUGUGAUUUAAAAAAAUAUAUCGUCGUCCGCUAAUCAUACUAGCGGACUAGAUAAAAAUAAUUAUCCGAAUGAAGCUUGGUUUUAUUUCCGUCUGCUUAUUAUAUUAAAUCCUUUUACAAAUCAAAUCCAAGUCCAUGUGUAUUGCAAAUGUCGUGAGUCCUGCAAACAGUGAUACACAUUACAACAAGAAUCCAAGUCACACAAUUACAACAAGAAUCCAAGUCACACAAGGAGUCUUGCAAAUAGUUAUACACAUUGCAAAUCCAAGUCACACAGGGAGUCGCACAUGGAAUCUUUUGCAAACUUCAAAGUAGUUGCGUCAAAAGCACCAUACUGCCCUCCCAACCGGACCAUACACCUCCUUAGAAGAAGACGAAGCCUUCGGCAAAUCAGACGACGACGAUGCUCUAAAACACCUUUCCAAUAUAAUCCCGCCACAGCGUCGCCGUCCUUAACCGGCGACGAAGCUCUCAGAACGUGACCUUUAUGGAGAAGCUUACAUGGAACCGCUGGAAGCGACCGGUAAACAGUGGCGCGCGGAGGAGGCAAUCUAGUGGGUAUGAUAAAUUCUAAAAACUUACUCAUUAAAUAAAAAAACUUACAAACUUAGUCAUUCGGUGUUGUGCGGGUAUAAUGGUCCGAUAAUUAUUGUUAUCCAGUCACUGAGAUAUUUUUUUAAAUCACAACCUUUUAUUUUUGUAGUGGAAGGUUAAGAUGCUAUUUGUCCAUUAUUAUGGAUCAUUAUUGAUUGGUAUUACUCCAUUAUUUAUAGCAAGUACCACGGUGCUGACAUAGGGACGGCCAAAACACUUGGAUUAUAUAUACCUCCUCACCUCAUGGCCACUGGCC